This is a long non-coding RNA of Cyprinus carpio (common carp), 420 nucleotides long. RefSeq lists it as uncharacterized. Lineage: Eukaryota; Metazoa; Chordata; Actinopteri; Cypriniformes; Cyprinidae. The transcript is spliced from 3 exons. The record is from RefSeq and is a predicted model, not a curated record.
UCUUCACUUGGACACCAUAAAUGAGUUGAAGAGCAUGGUGUGUGCGCUGAAAGGGGGCUUAGAAGAAAGAAGUGCCCCUUCAAAGCAUCAAAAACCAGCCAUACUUGCACAUCCACACUCAUCGCAAGACAACCAGGUGGACCCCCUUGAGGAUGAUGUGACCAUUGCUGAUGGCGUUACAGUUAACAAAAUACAGCUUAUGCGAUGCAACCAUCAGAGACCUUCAAAACUUGUGUGUGAUCUGCUUGGGGGGAUGUUCACAAUGGAGGAGCUCCUUAACUGGAUUAAAGGGAGGUGCAUCAGAGAGUGUGAAUAAGAAGCAUGUCAAUGCCAUUUUUGGUAUGAUACUUCUUACAUUAUUUUGUAUUCAUUAUAUUGUGUACAGUUGUGUUAAUUGUCACUAAAUAUUUCUUUUUUAAU